This 497-nucleotide ribosomal RNA is filed under the name uncultured bacterium. Its description in RNAcentral is "partial 16S ribosomal RNA". It matches the Rfam family "Bacterial small subunit ribosomal RNA", at positions 28 to 507 of the family's 1533-position model. The record is from RNAcentral.
GAUGAACGCUGGCGGCGUGCCUAAUACAUGCCAGUCGAGCGAACAGACGAGGAGCUUGCUCCUCUGACGUUAGCGGCGGACGGGUGAGUAAUACGUGGAUAACCUACCUAUAAGACUGGGAUAACUUCGGGAAACCGGAGCUAAUACCGGAUAAUAUAUUGAACCGCAUGGUUCAAUAGUGAAAGACGGUUUUGCUGUCACUUAUAGAUGGAUCCGCGCCGCAUUAGCUAGUUGGUAAGGUAACGGCUUACCAAGGCAACGAUGCGUAGCCGACCUGAGAGGGUGAUCGGCCACACUGGAACUGAGACACGGUCCAGACUCCUACGGGAGGCAGCAGUAGGGAAUCUUCCGCAAUGGGCGAAAGCCUGACGGAGCAACGCCGCGUGAGUGAUGAAGGUCUUCGGAUCGUAAAACUCUGUUAUUAGGGAAGAACAAAUGUGUAAGUAACUAUGCACGUCUUGACGGUACCUAAUCAGAAAGCCACGGCUAACUACGUG